RNAcentral lists this ribosomal RNA (1343 nucleotides) under uncultured bacterium. RNAcentral describes it as "16S ribosomal RNA". It matches the Rfam family "Bacterial small subunit ribosomal RNA", at positions 28 to 1378 of the family's 1533-position model. The record is from RNAcentral.
GACGAACGCUGGCGGCGUGCUUAACACAUGCAAGUCGAACGGAAAGGCCCUGCUUUUGUGGGGUGCUCGAGUGGCGAACGGGUGAGUAACACGUGAGUAACCUGCCCUUGACUUUGGGAUAACUUCAGGAAACUGGGGCUAAUACCGGAUAGGAGCUCCUGCUGCAUGGUGGGGGUUGGAAAGUUUCGGCGGUUGGGGAUGGACUCGCGGCUUAUCAGCUUGUUGGUGGGGUAGUGGCUUACCAAGGCUUUGACGGGUAGCCGGCCUGAGAGGGUGACCGGCCACAUUGGGACUGAGAUACGGCCCAGACUCCUACGGGAGGCAGCAGUGGGGAAUAUUGCACAAUGGGCGGAAGCCUGAUGCAGCAACGCCGCGUGCGGGAUGACGGCCUUCGGGUUGUAAACCGCUUUCGCCUGUGACGAAGCGUGAGUGACGGUAAUGGGUAAAGAAGCACCGGCUAACUACGUGCCAGCAGCCGCGGUGAUACGUAGGGUGCGAGCGUUGUCCGGAUUUAUUGGGCGUAAAGGGCUCGUAGGUGGUUGAUCGCGUCGGAAGUGUAAUCUUGGGGCUUAACCCUGAGCGUGCUUUCGAUACGGGUUGACUUGAGGAAGGUAGGGGAGAAUGGAAUUCCUGGUGGAGCGGUGGAAUGCGCAGAUAUCAGGAGGAACACCAGUGGCGAAGGCGGUUCUCUGGGCCUUUCCUGACGCUGAGGAGCGAAAGCGUGGGGAGCGAACAGGCUUAGAUACCCUGGUAGUCCACGCUGUAAACGGUGGGUACUAGGUGUGGGGUCCAUUCCACGGGUUCCGUGCCGUAGCUAACGCUUUAAGUACCCCGCCUGGGGAGUACGGCCGCAAGGCUAAAACUCAAAGGAAUUGACGGGGCCCCGCACAAGCGGCGGAGCAUGCGGAUUAAUUCGAUGCAACGCGUAGAACCUUACCUGGGUUUGACAUGGAUCGGGAGUGCUCAGAGAUGGGUGUGCCUCUUUUGGGGUCGGUUCACAGGUGGUGCAUGGCUGUCGUCAGCUCGUGUCGUGAGAUGUUGGGUUAAGUCCCGCAACGAGCGCAACCCUUGUUCACUGUUGCCAGCACGUUAUGGUGGGGACUCAGUGGAGACCGCCGGGGUCAACUCGGAGGAAGGUGGGGAUGACGUCAAGUCAUCAUGCCCCUUAUGUCCAGGGCUUCACGCAUGCUACAAUGGCUGGUACAGGGAGUGGCGAGCCUGUGAGGGUGAGCGAAUCUCGGAAAGCCGGUCUCAGUUCGGAUUGGGGUCUGCAACUCGACCUCAUGAAGUCGGAGUCGCUAGUAAUCGCAGAUCAGCAACGCUGCGGUGAAUACGUUCCCGGG